UCCUACGGGAGGCAGCAGUGGGGAAUUUUGGACAAUGGGCGCAAGCCUGAUCCAGCAAUGCCGCGUGUGUGAAGAAGGCCUUCGGGUUGUAAAGCACUUUUGUCCGGAAAGAAAACAUUCUCACUAAUACUGGGGGUGGAUGACGGUACCGGAAGAAUAAGCACCGGCUAACUACGUGCCAGCAGCCGCGGUAAUACGUAGGGUGCGAGCGUUAAUCGGAAUUACUGGGCGUAAAACGUGCGCAGGCGGUUCGUUAAGACAGAUGUGAAAUCCCCGGGCUUAACCUGGGAACUGCAUUUGUGACUGACGGGCUAGAGUAUGGCAGAGGGGGGUAGAAUUCCACGUGUAGCAGUGAAAUGCGUAGAGAUGUGGAGGAAUACCGAUGGCGAAGGCAGCCCCCUGGGCCAAUACUGACGCUCAUGCACGAAAGCGUGGGGAGCAAACAGGAUUAGAUACCCUGGUAGUCCACGCCCUAAACGAUGUCAACUAGUUGUUGGGGAUUCAUUUCCUUAGUAACGUAGCUAACGCGUGAAGUUGACCGCCUGGGGAGUACGGUCGCAAGAUUAAAACUCAAAUGAAUUGACGGA
RNAcentral lists this ribosomal RNA (587 nucleotides) under uncultured bacterium. RNAcentral's name for it is "bacterial SSU rRNA". It matches the Rfam family "Bacterial small subunit ribosomal RNA", at positions 337 to 917 of the family's 1533-position model. The record is from RNAcentral.